RNAcentral lists this ribosomal RNA (246 nucleotides) under uncultured bacterium. Its description in RNAcentral is "partial 16S ribosomal RNA". It matches the Rfam family "Bacterial small subunit ribosomal RNA", at positions 109 to 353 of the family's 1533-position model. The record is from RNAcentral.
AGUAACGCGUGGGUAACCUGCCUCAUACAGGGGGAUAACAGUUAGAAAUGACUGCUAAUACCGCAUAAGCGCACAGUGCUGCAUGGCACAGUGUGAAAAACUCCGGUGGUAUGAGAUGGACCCGCGUCUGAUUAGCUAGUUGGUGGGGUAACGGCCUACCAAGGCGACGAUCAGUAGCCGGCCUGAGAGGGCGAACGGCCACAUUGGGACUGAGACACGGCCCAAACUCCUACGGGAGGCAGCAUG